GCGGGGAUAGCCCAGCCUGGUAAGGCGACAGAUUGCUAAUCUGUUGGUCUUCUGACCUCGGGAGUUCAAAUGGUGCGGAGCGAAAACCAUUUUCAUCUUAGGCUCACGUCUUGAAAAUCUCCCUCCCCGCG
This 131-nucleotide transfer RNA is filed under the name Thermoplasmatota archaeon. RNAcentral's name for it is "Candidatus Thermoplasmatota archaeon (groundwater metagenome) tRNA-Ser". It matches the Rfam family "tRNA". From Rfam's summary of the family: Transfer RNA (tRNA) molecules are approximately 80 nucleotides in length. Their secondary structure includes four short double-helical elements and three loops (D, anti-codon, and T loops). The record is from RNAcentral. Lineage: Archaea; Methanobacteriati; Thermoplasmatota.